GGGUUGUGAGGUUAAGCGACUAAGCGUACACGGUGGAUGCCCUGGCAGUCAGAGGCGAUGAAGGGCGUGCUAAUCUGCGAUAAGCGCCGGUAAGGUGAUAUGAACCGUUAUAACCGGCGAUACCCGAAUGGGGAAACCCAGUGUGAUUCGUCACACUAUCAUUAACUGAAUCCAUAGGUUAAUGAGGCGAACCGGGGGAACUGAAACAUCUAAGUACCCCGAGGAAAAGAAAUCAACCGAGAUUCCCCCAGUAGCGGCGAGCGAACGGGGAGGAGCCCAGAGCCUGAAUCAGCAUGUGUGUUAGUGGAAGCGUCUGGAAAGGCGCGCGAUACAGGGUGACAGCCCCGUACACAAAAGCGCAUGUGCUGUGAGCUCGAUGAGUAGGGCGGGACACGUGGUAUCCUGUCUGAAUAUGGGGGGACCAUCCUCCAAGGCUAAAUACUCCUGACUGACCGAUAGUGAACCAGUACCGUGAGGGAAAGGCGAAAAGAACCCCGGCGAGGGGAGUGAAAAAGAACCUGAAACCGUGUACGUACAAGCAGUGGGAGCNNGUGACUGCGUACCUUUUGUAUAAUGGGUCAGCGACUUAUAUUCUGUAGCAAGGUUAACCGAAUAGGGGAGCCGGAGGGAAACCGAGUCUUAAUUGGGCGUUAAGUUGCAGGGUAUAGACCCGAAACCCGGUGAUCUAGCCAUGGGCAGGUUGAAGGUUGGGUAACACUAACUGGAGGACCGAACCGACUAAUGUUGAAAAAUUAGCGGAUGACCUGUGGCUGGGGGUGAAAGGCCAAUCAAACCGGGAGAUAGCUGGUUCUCCCCGAAAGCUAUUUAGGUAGCGCCUCGUGAAUUCAUCUCCGGGGGUAGAGCACUGUUUCGGCUAGGGGGCCAUCCCGGCUUACCAACCCGAUGCAAACUGCGAAUACCGGAGAAUGUUAUCACGGGAGACACACGGCGGGUGCUAACGUCCGUCGUGAAGAGGGAAACAACCCAGACCGCCAGCUAAGGUCCCAAAGUCAUGGUUAAGUGGGAAACGAUGUGGGAAGGCCCAGACAGCCAGGAUGUUGGCUUAGAAGCAGCCAUCAUUUAAAGAAAGCGUAAUAGCUCACUGGUCGAGUCGGCCUGCGCGGAAGAUGUAACGGGGCUAAACCAUGCACCGAAGCUGCGGCAGCGANNGUUGGGUAGGGGAGCGUUCUGUAAGCCUGUGAAGGUGUGUCGUGAGGCAUGCUGGAGGUAUCAGAAGUGCGAAUGCUGACAUAAGUAACGAUAAAGCGGGUGAAAAGCCCGCUCGCCGGAAGACCAAGGGUUCCUGUCCAACGUUAAUCGGGGCAGGGUGAGUCGACCCCUAAGGCGAGGCCGAAAGGCGUAGUCGAUGGGAAACGGGUUAAUAUUCCCGUACUUGGUGUUACUGCGAAGGGGGGACGGAGAAGGCUAUGUUGGCCGGGCGACGGUUGUCCCGGUUUAAGCGUGUAGGUGUGUGUUCCAGGUAAAUCCGGUUCACUUUAACACUGAGGCGUGAUGACGAGGCACUACGGUGCUGAAGUAACAAAUGCCCUGCUUCCAGGAAAAGCCUCUAAGCAUCAGGUAACAUCAAAUCGUACCCCAAACCGACACAGGUGGUCAGGUAGAGAAUACCAAGGCGCUUGAGAGAACUCGGGUGAAGGAACUAGGCAAAAUGGUGCCGUAACUUCGGGAGAAGGCACGCUGACACGUAGGUGAAGUGAUUUACUCAUGGAGCUGAAGUCAGUCGAAGAUACCAGCUGGCUGCAACUGUUUAUUAAAAACACAGCACUGUGCAAACACGAAAGUGGACGUAUACGGUGUGACGCCUGCCCGGUGCCGGAAGGUUAAUUGAUGGGGUCAGCGCAAGCGAAGCUCCUGAUCGAAGCCCCGGUAAACGGCGGCCGUAACUAUAACGGUCCUAAGGUAGCGAAAUUCCUUGUCGGGUAAGUUCCGACCUGCACGAAUGGCGUAAUGAUGGCCAGGCUGUCUCCACCCGAGACUCAGUGAAAUUGAACUCGCUGUGAAGAUGCAGUGUACCCGCGGCAAGACGGAAAGACCCCGUGAACCUUUACUAUAGCUUGACACUGAACAUUGAGCCUUGAUGUGUAGGAUAGGUGGGAGGCUUUGAAGUGUGGACGCCAGUCUGCAUGGAGCCGACCUUGAAAUACCACCCUUUAAUGUUUGAUGUUCUAACGUGGACCCGUUACCCGGGUUGCGGACAGUGUCUGGUGGGUAGUUUGACUGGGGCGGUCUCCUCCUAAAGAGUAACGGAGGAGCACGAAGGUUGGCUAAUCCUGGUCGGACAUCAGGAGGUUAGUGCAAUGGCAUAAGCCAGCUUGACUGCGAGCGUGACGGCGCGAGCAGGUGCGAAAGCAGGUCAUAGUGAUCCGGUGGUUCUGAAUGGAAGGGCCAUCGCUCAACGGAUAAAAGGUACUCCGGGGAUAACAGGCUGAUACCGCCCAAGAGUUCAUAUCGACGGCGGUGUUUGGCACCUCGAUGUCGGCUCAUCACAUCCUGGGGCUGAAGUAGGUCCCAAGGGUAUGGCUGUUCGCCAUUUAAAGUGGUACGCGAGCUGGGUUUAGAACGUCGUGAGACAGUUCGGUCCCUAUCUGCCGUGGGCGCUGGAGAACUGAGGGGGGCUGCUCCUAGUACGAGAGGACCGGAGUGGACGCAUCACUGGUGUUCGGGUUGUCAUGCCAAUGGCACUGCCCGGUAGCUAAAUGCGGAAGAGAUAAGUGCUGAAAGCAUCUAAGCACGAAACUUGCCCCGAGAUGAGUUCUCCCUGAGACUUAGAGUCUCCUGAAGGAACGUUGAAGACGACGACGUUGAUAGGCCGGGUGUGUAAGCGCAG
RNAcentral lists this ribosomal RNA (2848 nucleotides) under Salmonella enterica subsp. enterica serovar Dublin. RNAcentral describes it as "bacterial LSU rRNA". It matches the Rfam family "Bacterial large subunit ribosomal RNA". Lineage: Bacteria; Pseudomonadati; Pseudomonadota; Gammaproteobacteria; Enterobacterales; Enterobacteriaceae. The record is from RNAcentral.